RNAcentral lists this ribosomal RNA (470 nucleotides) under uncultured bacterium. RNAcentral describes it as "bacterial SSU rRNA". It matches the Rfam family "Bacterial small subunit ribosomal RNA", at positions 29 to 506 of the family's 1533-position model. The record is from RNAcentral.
AUGAACGCUGGCGGCGUGUCUAAGGCAUGCAAGUCGAGCGAGUUCGUUUUGGUAGCAAUACCGAGACGAGCUAGCGGCAAACGGGUGCGUAACACAUUGGCAAUCUGCCUCACAGUCGGGCAUAACUCCGCGAAAGCGGAGCUAAUUCCACGAUGGGCUCCGGUUUUCACUAGACGACCGGAGUAAAGUCGCAAGACGCUGUGAGAGGAGCCUAUGGCCUAUCAGCUAGUUGGCGGGGUAAUAGCCCACCAAGGCGAUGACGGGUAGGGGAUGUGAGAGCAUGAUCCCCCUCACUGGAACUGAGACACUGUCCAGACACCUACGGGUGGCUGCAGUCGAGAAUAUUCCCCAAUGGCCGAAAGGCUGAGGGAGCGACGCCGCGUGCAGGAUGAAGGGCUUCGGCUCGUAAACUGCUUUUUUCAGGGACGAACACUGACGGUACCUGAAGAAUAAGAGGUUGCUAACUCUGU